CUGAAAGACACCAUUUGGCACCUUUGUUGACAUGGAGCCCUUUAUGGUCAAUGAGAUACUACUUUCAAACAUCAUAAAAUAUCAUGUUGGAGGGGAUCAAUUUAUUUUUGCUGAAAAAAUAAUAAUAUUCAAUGCUAAGAAAGUGGCACUUAUAUUAGAUCUUCUGUGUCACGAGAUGAAAAUCUCAGCCAUCGAAAAAUAUCCAAAGAAGAUGGGGAGGCUAUUCAAG
RNAcentral lists this long non-coding RNA (229 nucleotides) under Elaeis guineensis (African oil palm). RNAcentral describes it as "long non-coding RNA (EGUI_LNC009063)". Lineage: Eukaryota; Viridiplantae; Streptophyta; Magnoliopsida; Arecales; Arecaceae. The record is from RNAcentral.